UUUUUUCCCCCUCCGCUCCUGUUCAGGGAGAGCUUUCGCGUGGCGCCUGUGAGGUUUCUUCUUCUUCUUCUUCUCUCUCUCUCUCUCUCUCCUCUCUCGCGCUCUCCUGCGUGUGUAUGUGUGCGGUUGGUUGGUGGAUGCUGUAAUUUCGAGCAAUGAAAUCCAGAGCUCGGGGCUGUGGUCGGAAAGGGACCCCCGUCUCGUCACUCUCGGCCGGUUUGUGUGAUUUUGCUAAAAUGCAUCACCAACAGCGAAUGGCUGCCUUAGGGACGGACAAAGAACUGAGUGAUUUACUGGAUUUCAGUGCGAUGUUUUCACCUCCUGUCAGCAGUGGAAAGAAUGGACCAACUUCUUUGGCGAGUGGACACUUUAGUGGCUCAAAUGUAGAAGACAGAACUAGCUCAGGGUCCUGGGGGAACGGAGGACAUCCUAGCCCAUCCAGGAACUACGGAGAUGGACCUUCUUAUGAACAUAUGACAAACAGGGACCUUGGAUCACAUGACAAUCUAUCGCCUCCUUUUGUGAAUUCCAGAAUACAAAGUAAAACAGAUAGAAGCUCUUAUUCAUCAUAUGGACGAGACUCAAAUCUUCAAGGUUGCCAUCAGCAAAGUCUCCUUGGAGGUGACAUGGAAAUGGGCAACCCAGGAACACUUUCUCCUACCAAACCUGGUUCUCAGUACUAUCAGUAUUCUAGCAAUAAUCCACGAAGGAGGCCUCUGCACAGCACUUCUGUUGAAGUACAAACAAAGAAAGUUCGAAAAGUUCCUCCAGGUUUACCAUCUUCAGUUUAUGCCCCUUCUGCAAGCACUGCCGAUUACAAUCGGGAUUCGCCCGGCUAUCCAUCCUCAAAACCACCAGCCAGCACUUUUCCUAGUUCUUUCUUCAUGCAAGACGGCCACCAUAGCAGUGAUCCGUGGAACUCAUCCAGUGGAAUGAAUCCCCCUGGGUAUGGAGGCAUGUUGGCCAAUUCAUCUCAUCUUCCACAGUCCAGUAGCUAUUGCAGUCUUCAUCCUCACGACCGCUUGAGCUACCCAUCACACUCCUCAGCAGACAUCAAUUCCAGUCUUCCUCCAAUGUCCACUUUCCAUCGCAGUGCCACAACCCAUUACAGUGCUUCUUCCUGUACACCUCCAGCAAAUGGAACAGAAAGUAUAAUGGCAAACAGAGGAAGUGGAACUGCAGGAAGUUCACAGACAGGCGAUGCGCUGGGGAAAGCACUUGCAUCUAUUUACUCUCCAGAUCAUACCAACAACAGCUUUUCAUCAAAUCCUUCAACUCCUGUGGGUUCACCACCUUCUCUUUCAGCAGGAACAGCUGUUUGGUCUAGAAAUGGAGGGCAAGCAUCAUCAUCUCCCAAUUAUGAAGGUCCCUUACAUUCUUUGCAAAGCCGAAUUGAAGACCGCUUGGAAAGACUGGAUGAUGCUAUUCAUGUUCUCCGGAACCAUGCAGUGGGACCCUCAACUGCCAUGCCUGGUAGUCAUAGUGACCUCCAUAGCUUAAUAGGCUCUUCUCAUAAUGGAGCUAUGGGAGGCCUUGGAUCAGGAUAUGGGACAGGCCUUCUUUCAGCCAAUAGACAUUCACUAAUGGUUGGUGCUCAUCGUGAAGAUGCAGUUGGCCUCCGUGGCAGUCAUUCCCUUGUGCCAAACCAAGUUCCUGUUCCACAGCUGCCAGUGCAGUCUGCAACAUCUCCUGACUUAAACCAGCCUCCGGAUCCUUAUCGAGGCAUGCCAACUGGACUUCAAGGGCAAAGCAUAUCUUCAGGGAGCUCUGAAAUCAAAUCUGAUGACGAAGGAGAUGAGAACCUCCAGGACUCAAAAUCUUCCGAUGACAAGAAGUUAGACGAUGACAAGAAGGAUAUCAAAUCAAUUACUAGGUCAAGAUCUAGCAAUAAUGACGACGAAGAUCUUACUCCGGAGCAAAAAGCAGAGCGCGAGAAGGAAAGAAGAAUGGCCAACAAUGCCCGUGAGCGCCUGCGUGUCCGUGACAUCAACGAGGCUUUCAAAGAGCUGGGCCGGAUGGUGCAGCUCCAUCUAAAAAGCGACAAGCCCCAGACCAAACUUUUAAUCUUACAUCAAGCUGUAGCAGUUAUCCUCAGUUUAGAGCAGCAAGUCAGAGAAAGAAAUCUGAAUCCUAAAGCGGCGUGUUUGAAAAGAAGGGAAGAAGAGAAAGUAUCUUCGGAACCUCCUCCGCUUUCUUUGGCAGGACCCCACCCUGGGAUGGGAGACACAUCUAAUCAUAUGGGGCAGAUGUAAAAAAAGGAAAAAGGUCCAAGUUGCCACAUUUUCUUCACGUAAACCAGAGACCACUUCCUUAAAACAGCUGUAUUAUCUUAAAAACAUAUAAACACUUAACCCUUCUCCCCCCCGCCCUCCAUUUUUUUUGUAAUAUAAUAAGACAAGUCUGAGUAGUUACGAAUCACAGACGCAAGAGAUUUCAGCAUUCCUGAUUUUGAAAUAAAGGAGAAAAAAAAAGUGCAACUUGAGAGACAACUUCUUUUCAACAUAUCAUUCGGAAUGUUUCAAGCAGUAUGUUGACAGCUGUCAGUGCACAGCCAGGAGACUGAAUGGCAAUCUUCUCCACACUGUGGGACAAUGCAUUUGUGCCUAAACUUCUUUUGGAAAAAAAAAAUAUAAUUAAUUUGUAUCACCAGGAGUCACUGCCUAGGAAUGACCUAAUAGGUGGCGCUGUCAUCCACUCUCCCAACUUCAAAAGCAAUGGGUUUUAAAAGUGCCCUUGGUGUUCUCAGAAGUGCUCCAUUCCAGAUGAUGUGUAAAACUGAAGUUGUGAUCACCCGAGUUCCACUCAGAAUAUGAUUCCUUCUAGAGGCCUCUUCACUUUUUUCUUUUCUUUUUUUUUUUUUUUUGCACUGGGUAGUUGAUUAAAAAUCUACUUUCUGGACAUAACUGUAAAAGCACAUGUCCUUCUCAGCCUAAGCGGUUGUGUAACAUGGCUAUGCAUUGUAAUAUAGUUGUUGACCUGGCCCACCUUUGGCUUGAAAUUCAACGGGUGGAGCAAAUUGUUUGUAAUUCCUCUGUAAAGUUCGUUCUUUUUUCUUUUCCUGAAUGAAAGGUGCUACAUAACGUGUAAAAUUGCAUUCGUGACCAUCAAUUUCUGUAAAUACAGCACCUGUAUUUUAAUGGAAAACUGUUAAUGUACGUAUGAGACAAUUGAUUGCACCUGUGAGCAAUGGACAGACAUCAAGGUGCUAAGCUGUAUGCAAAAAAUAAACUGAACUGUUAGAAAAAAAAAAUAAGGAUUAAUCUAUUAAAUUCAAAGAUUUGGAGCAAUUAUAAAGUCACGCACAAGACUGCCGUCGAUCACCCUCUUUAAUACUUUUGUGUAUCAAUUGAGAUCGUUUUUGUAUUUUUAGGCAGAACUGUGACUCUCUUAUUACAGUAUUGCAGACUGAGCUGUACUAAGGGUUCAAGUGGACAGAUCACCUUAAUUUGUCCCCAUAUGAGAUAUUUGUUGAAGUUGUACAUUAUAAAUGCUGUUUGUAUUUAUAUCUUGUUGAAAAGAAAAGAAGUAAUAAAUU
Molecule: RNA transcript, 3535 nt
Organism: Ahaetulla prasina
Lineage: Eukaryota; Metazoa; Chordata; Lepidosauria; Squamata; Colubridae
Gene: TCF4
Gene name: transcription factor 4
Exons: 21
Source: RefSeq, a predicted model, not a curated record